GAUGAACGCUGGCGGCGUGCCUAAUACAUGCAAGUCGAGCGAACAGACGAGGAUCUUGCUCCUCUGACGUUAGCGGCGGACGGGUGAGUAACACGUGGAUAACCUACCUAUAAGACUGGGAUAACUUCGGGAAACCGGAUCUAAUACCGGAUAAUAUAUUGAACCGCAUGGUUCAAUAGUGAAAGACGGUUUUGCUGUCACUUAUAGAUGGAUCCGCGCCGCAUUAGCUAGUUGGUAAGGUAACGGCUUACCAAGGCAACGAUGCGUAGCCGACCUGAGAGGGUGAUCGGCCACACUGGAACUGAGACACGGUCCAGACUCCUACGGGAGGCAGCAGUAGGGAAUCUUCCGCAAUGGGCGAAAGCCUGACGGAGCAACGCCGCGUGAGUGAUGAAGGUCUUCGGAUCGUAAAACUCUGUUAUUAGGGAAGAACAAAUGUAUAAGUAACUAUGCACGUCUUGACGGUACCUAAUCAGAAAGCCACGGCUAACUACGUG
RNAcentral lists this ribosomal RNA (497 nucleotides) under uncultured bacterium. RNAcentral's name for it is "partial 16S ribosomal RNA". It matches the Rfam family "Bacterial small subunit ribosomal RNA", at positions 28 to 507 of the family's 1533-position model. The record is from RNAcentral.